Bos indicus x Bos taurus (hybrid cattle) is the source of this 266-nucleotide long non-coding RNA. NCBI's taxonomy places the organism in Eukaryota, Metazoa, Chordata, Mammalia, Artiodactyla, Bovidae. The record is from Ensembl.
CUAGAUUUGCAGUCUCCUCCACAAAACUUCUCCCACUGUCAUGAUGCCCAUUUUUCACUCCAGGCUCUGCUGCUCUGUACUUAGGGUCAACUUAUAAAUGAUAAGAAGAGGAAAGCCUGCAGAGAGGGUGACAGCAAUGGUGGAGAUGUAACUUAAUCUCAGGCCAAAUGUCUAUCAAGAGCUUUGGACUUACAGAUGAAGCCAUUUUCUAGAAAUGUCACCUCAUCUAUUCUCAAACUCAAAAAUAUUUAGUCAACACAUAUUUG